This 497-nucleotide ribosomal RNA is filed under the name uncultured bacterium. RNAcentral's name for it is "partial 16S ribosomal RNA". It matches the Rfam family "Bacterial small subunit ribosomal RNA", at positions 28 to 507 of the family's 1533-position model. The record is from RNAcentral.
GAUGAACGCUGGCGGCGUGCCUAAUACAUGCAAGUCGAGCGAACAGACGAGGAGCUUGCUCCUCUGACGUUAGCGGCGGACGGGUGAGUAACACGUGGAUAACCUACCUAUAAGACUGGGAUAACUUCGGGAAACCGGAGCUAAUACCGGAUAAUAUAUUGAACCGCAUGGUUCAAUAGUGAAAGACGGUUUUGCUGUCACUUAUAGAUGGAUCCGCGCCGCAUUAGCUAGUUGGUAAGGUAACGGCUUACCAAGGCGACGAUGCGUAGCCGACCUGAGAGGGGGAUCGGCCACACUGGAACUGAGACACGGUCCAGACUACUACGGGAGGCAGCAGUAGGGAAUCCUCCGCAAUGGGCGAAAGCCUGACGGAGCAACGCCGCGUGAGUGAUGAAGGUCUUCGGAUCGUAAAACUCUGUUAUUCGGGAAGAACAAAUGUGUAAGUAACUAUGCACGUCUUGACGGUACCUAAUCAGAAAGCCACGGCUAACUACGUG